Molecule: long non-coding RNA, 1017 nt
Organism: Cyprinus carpio (common carp)
Lineage: Eukaryota; Metazoa; Chordata; Actinopteri; Cypriniformes; Cyprinidae
Exons: 4
Source: RefSeq, a predicted model, not a curated record
AUAGAUCGCUUUUAUGAUUUUUACGGUGUUUUUUGCUGUUUUCUUCACAGACAUGAACUGUCAUUAAUGAUUCUAAAAUGUCUUCUUUUGUGUUCCACAGAAAAUAAUGACAGCAUAUGGGUUUGAAAUGACAUGAAGGCUUUUGCUGACAGCGUGCUUACAUCCACUGGCUGGGCUGGUGCUGUGGUGCUAGGCAGAUGUGCUGUUUCUGUAACACCUUUAGCAGGAGCCCCAGAUGGAGGAAGAGUGGCCUAAAUAAAUAAAGUCUCCAUGCUGAGUUCCCGAGUGACUCCUGCUGCUUUCCCUGAUGCUGUGGGUUUGGCUGCUCUCUUUAAACCCUGUCGUCCAAGUAGUGAACUGGCCCUCUUAUUUAAAAAAGAGAAAAAAGGAAGUGAAGUAAUGAUGGAUGAUGGCAUCCACAUAGGGAUGCACUGUUGCAACACACAGAAUCAUCACCUGUUGUAGAGAAAAGAGACCUUUGCUCUCAUACAGAGAUGGCCAGUGAGAGUGGAGAAGGUGAUGUCCUCAGAAAGAUGUCCAAAUGUAGCAGAAAAGAAAGGCCUGGGGAUUCUUGACCAAUGAUUGUUGAAAGGUUUGGAAGGGAUCACAAAUGUCACAAACAUCAAAAGAUCUACUGUGCCACAAAUUUCAUCUACACAGGACUGUCUUCUAACAAGUCUGCCCACCCUAGCAUCUUCCCAGCUACUCAAGUGACAUUUUUCCAUGUCUAGCCCACUGUGUUCUAAUCAAAUGUUGUCAUCCCUCAAACAGCAUGUGUCCUUUCUCAAGGCAGAAAAAGUAUCAAGAAGUACAUCAGUAAGAGACAUGAAAAGACUCAUUUUGUCACACAUCAAAGUCCAUUUUCAGGCCAUCCUUUUAAUGCAUUUUGUCUGCACAGCCACAUGACCAGAGCAAAAUGAUGUGAUCUUGAGCCUUCUCAACACUCUCCUGUGUCUUUUGAGGUAAAGUCAGGUUAACUGGUUCACAUGACAUCAUCUUAGAAAAGUUUGUUUUGAU